AAUCAACGCUGGCGGCGUGCCUCAGACAUGCAAGUCGAACGAUUAAAGCUCUCUUCGGAGAGUGCAUAGAGUGGCGCACGGGUGAGUAACACGUAAGUAAUCUACCUCCGAGUGGGGAAUAACACCGAGAAAUCGGUGCUAAUACCGCAUAAUGCAGCGGCAUCGCAAGAUGACAGUUGUUAAAGAUUUAUCGCUUGAAGAGGAGCUUGCGGCAGAUUAGCUAGUUGGUAAGGUAAUGGCUUACCAAGGCUACGAUCUGUAACCGGUCUAAGAGGACGGUCGGUCACACUGACACUGAAUAACGGGUCAGACUCCUACGGGAGGCAGCAGUCGGGAA
Molecule: ribosomal RNA, 337 nt
Filed under: uncultured bacterium
Lineage: Bacteria
Description: bacterial SSU rRNA
Rfam family: Bacterial small subunit ribosomal RNA
Source: RNAcentral